ACUGAACCACUCAUUUUCGGAACUGGAACCAAACUCAUUGUGGAACCAAAGGACCAAGCCGUGCAGAAACCGUCUGUCUUCAUGUAUGGCAAUCCUGCAGGUGGCAGCACCAUUGCAUGUCUCGCUACUGGUUUCUACCCGAAAGAAAUCAAAAUGGAAAUGAACUCUACAGCUACAGCUACAGCAGUUAAACAAAAGGAAAGGCCUGCCAUUGUUACCAGUGAUGGAAAGUAUGGAAAAUUAUCCCUCCUAAGAAUUGAUGAAGAGGCUGAAAAAGACAAGGUAUACUGCAGUGCCGAGCAUAAGGGGACAUCCUAUAUUACUCAUGUUAGUGCUGAAUCAAAAGUGCCAGAUUCUGCAUCUCCAGAAGCAGCAGGUGACAUUCCAUGUACUACCUCAACUAAGGAAUACCCAAUUGUUUCAGAUGACUCCAGAUUAAACCUGAUGUCCAUGACUGUUUUGGGCCUGAGAGUUUUGCUUCUGAAAACCAUCUCAUUCAAUGUUUUGAUGACUGCUCGAUAUUUGAUGUGAUGAAUCUUAAUGCCUUUUGAUGUUCUUCAUGACCAUAGUUGGACUCUCAAAAAUUCAGUACCAGUAAAUAGUCAGCUCCUAAGACUUUCAAGAAUUUUAAUUUGAGAUUCAAGGCUUUCUCAUAUAUUUUUCCAUAUAAUAUGUUUGCUUUUGUUUUUUAUAUAUGCUUUUUAAAUAGUAACAUGCAUUAUUGGGAAAGCUUAAUUCUGGUAACUACUGAUUAUUACUUUAUAUCCCACACUGUUUUAGGGCAUGUAUAUUUUGUACCAGUGCUGAUUAAUUGCCAAACCAUUAUAGACAAUCUGCCAUGAAUGUUGUAUGCUACUGUAAGAUGAACACCGGAAACAUGAACAGAUGUCAAAGUAUACCUUUAUCAGGGACAAAUUAGCAAGGGGGCCAAUAGAGCUGCAACUUAAGGCUUACAUUUUCUGAAAUAGGUCCUUUUACUUCUUCUCCUGGUUUAGUCUGAAAUCCUGCGCUAAUGUCAUACAAAAUAAAUAGCCCCCUUAUGGUUUUCAGCACUAGACCCAUGAAACCCAUAAUCCAGCAGUGACAUUUAUAUCUAUAUUAACACAACCAUGAUGUGCCACAUAUAGAAUGCACAUAUUAAGGAAAUGCUUAUUUUGUAAAUCAGAGUGAAAUAUAUAUGAUACAUGAUUCAUUACUUCAAUUUAUAAUUACAUUUUAAAUUUGACUUCUUAAAGUAUGCAUAAAGUUUUAAAUUACUGUUUUGGCAACACAUAAUUUUGGGCAGGCACUUUGGACCAAAAUAAGUUAAUUUGCAGUUACAUUUUGUGCAGUUAAAGUAGAGAUCAGAAUCAGUUCCUUCCAAAUGUUCCAAAUUACGGUAUCGACAGAGACCAAUACAAACCAAGUUAUAUAUAGAGUUGGGAUUUUUGCUAAGCUGAUUCAAACAAUCCAGAUCAUGGACUCGAGACCACUGAAUGUGCGUCAGCUUUAGUUAAAGCUGUUACUGGUAAAGGACAGCUUCAGGCACUCAGCAGGUAGUGCACCCCCAUUAAUAAGAUGAAAACCAAAGGUCUGUGGGUUUUGUUCCUGUAUAAUCUGCUUUGGGAUCAUGUUCUAGUGCUAACUCUGGGAUGUAACUUAAAGGCAGUUUUACAGUCUUUCAAGUGAAAGUCACAUGUGCUUGAAAUCGUCAUAGGUCAAACGGAUCAAGCUUAUUAAAAAGAGUAGCAUCAUUUCACAACAUGGACAGAUUUCCCCAAGUUAUUACAAAUACAACUUAAUGUACAUAAACAGGUUAUAAGCUUUCUGCAAACAACUUGUUAACUGGAACUAAAAUAAAAUUACAUUUCCUCCACAGAGAUGUAGUUUUGAAAAUAACAUAAACGUUAGUCAUCUACUAGGAUGUUUAUAUUUAUUUCUAUUUUAUUUUUAUUGUUUUCUAAUUUGCAUAUUUUAUACAGAGUUUUCUUUUUGUAGGUGUGAACUAAGGAAUCCAAGUUCACUGAGCACCUCACUGCAGAUUUCUUUCUGUAUAGUUCUGAAUAGACUGAAUAAUAAAAUGUUAAAGGUUAAGUAAAUCUACACUCAAAAUAUAUUAUAUCAGUGGCACAUUAUAAGGGUUCUCUAUUGCAAUUCCAAGACCCAUAAUUGUGACUUCCUGAAUUACAAAAAAAGCAAUGGAAAUUACAGUAUAACAGCAAAUGUCUAUAAUCACUAUUCUACUUUCUGGAUCUUUUUGCAAGGGUGGAGCCCUCUGUAUACCUCCAUAUUGGGGGAUGCACUGUCACAUCCCUAUUAUUUAAACAUACUGACUCCAAUGUCACCAAGAACUAACAACAUAGAAUUACUUAACCAGCAUGGAUGCAAAGAAUACAUUUCCAGUAACUCUAUCCAUCAACUUAAUUUUCAUUUCAGCAUUAUAAUUUUAAAUAAUCAGUGUUCAUUUUUCCAUUCAUGAUCUUGGAAUACAGUUUGAAAUAUCACUUCAAUAUCUUUGUUCUUUAACAUUUUAUGAUUGUAGUUUAUAUUAUUUUCUGUUUUGCUAUUGCUUCAAAAUAAAUAAAAUAAUAUGCACUAUAUCCAUUGCAUUUUGCACACUCAAAUCUCUGUAGAACUUUCCCUGUUUAAUAUUCUGAUAACAGUAUCCAUCUGUAUAUCCUUAAUCAUUUAAUAAAGUAUAAUAGGUGAAGUUGGCUUGCUGGAGUGCUCACUGUGUUGAGUUUAUUAUUCAAGUAUACUUUUUUCCAGCAUUUGCUUCUUAUUAUUUUUAUAAGUAGCAUUCUUUCAAACAGAAAAAAUAAAGUGGAAGAAAAAGCACAGUA
Molecule: non-coding RNA, 2822 nt
Organism: Protopterus annectens (West African lungfish)
Lineage: Eukaryota; Metazoa; Chordata; Ceratodontiformes; Protopteridae
Source: the annotation of a RefSeq genome assembly